CUUCGUGAUCGGCAUACACGCGAGCCCUGAAUCGGCACGCGUGGAGGUGGACAAGCUAGCGGACGUGUACGCCGAUGCCAUCGCUCGAGUUCCGGACAUCACGGAUAGCAUUAUAAUGGGCGACUUCAAUGCAGACUGCGACUACAUAUGCGCAAGCUGCUUUGACGCCCUGCGUCUUUGGACAGAGAGUGAACGGUACGACUGGGUGAUUCCACACACGUUCGACACGACAACACGUGUAUCAAACAGACUGCGCGCUACGACAGAUUUGUUCUCACGGUGACAGUAUGAAGAGCAGUUUUGUCGCUCCAGCUGCCAUAUACGACUUCCAAACAGAAUACAAUCUCAAUAAAACAUUUACAGAAGACGUGAGCGACCACUAUCCCAUCGUAAUGACGGUGCGUGAUGUUUGCACGGCCGCCCUGUACAUCACGGCCUGGCACAUACCGACUUUUGGCAACAAGCGGAUGGAUGACGAGGCC
Priapulus caudatus is the source of this 482-nucleotide long non-coding RNA. RefSeq lists it as uncharacterized. The transcript has 4 exons. NCBI's taxonomy places the organism in Eukaryota, Metazoa, Priapulida, Priapulimorpha, Priapulimorphida, Priapulidae. The record is from RefSeq and is a predicted model, not a curated record.